Molecule: long non-coding RNA, 5684 nt
Filed under: Sus scrofa (pig)
Lineage: Eukaryota; Metazoa; Chordata; Mammalia; Artiodactyla; Suidae
Description: lncRNA (ENSSSCG00025001039.1)
Source: RNAcentral
AAGUGACAUCAUAUGGUUUUCGUCUUUCUCUGACUUACUUCACUCAGGAUGAAAGUCUCUAGUUCCAUCCAUGUUGCUGCAAAUGGCAUUAUGUCAUUCUUUUUUAUGUCCAAGUAGUAUUCCAUUGUGUGUAUAUACCACAUCUUCCUAAAACAGGAUAUAGUAUAUUUAGCAGAACAUAAACUGGAAAUUAAACCAAACACACACAGACAAAACAACAUAACUACGGCUCUUUCCAAGAUGCUUUGGCUAUUACUUAGGUUUGCAUAAGUUGAUAUGCAUAUAUAACAUUUCAGUACAGUUAAUCAUUUCUUAUUGGGCUACAUCUCUUCCUAAAAACUAUUAGAAAUUUUCCUCUGUCAAAUGUAUUAUUUUCUUUCAUAGCAAAGUCAAGUGUAUUGUUUUCUUUAAUAUCAACAUUUCUCACAAACGAAUGGAUAUUUUUGGUUGAUAACUGAUUCACUUUGCUGUAUACCUAAAGUUAACACAAUAUUGUAGGUCAAAAAGGCUCCAAUAAAAUUUUCUUUGUGUUUGACAUCUACGUUCAUUGUAGUGAAAUGCCUACCUCAAUAACUUAAAUAGUGAAACUUGAAGUAAAUUGAACUAGUCUUGCACAGCUUCAGAGGGCCCAGACUACUACCAUUAAAAAUGAAGUCUGAACAAAUCUAAGCAGGAAUGGACACUCAUCUUGUGGAGCACAAACAGGAGCCCUCAGACUUAGUUCUUGUGACAGAAUACAGAAUGGCAUGAUAGUCGGGCGAAGUCCUAAGCAGGCCAUUUCUGGUAAAGGUAUGAGCUCCCAUUUGCUUGACCACAUUACAAUCCUAAAUAAUGGAAAAGAAGAUAAAUUCAUUGUGAUGAUUUGGGUGAUUUAAUGAUCCUCAGAUAUCAUUAGAGCCACACAGCAACUGAAAAUAUGACAUCACACCCUAUUUCCCAGUGGCGUACCCAACACUAAGACGGAGUCUUAACAGCAACAUAAAAUAAUCUGGAGGUGCCCAAGCAAAUGGGUAGGUCUUCCCCUCCACUGGCACUCCUGCAGACCACCCCUCUACUGCUUCUGGUUGCUCAAUUUCAAGUAGACCCCCUGAUUUCUGACCAACUAGGAGAGCCCCUCCAUCCACAUCAGGCCAAUCUGUAGCCAUUCCAAUGCCAAACUGAAGCAAUGUUCCCAGGGUUUCUGAUAUAUGCUAACUAGAGUGGACUCUAUUCUCCCUGGAACCUAUUUGCUUUAGGUUUCUUUGUGUUUUCAGCUCUUGAAGGCUUUCAUAAAAUAUGGUUUGGGAGUACCUGUUUUUGUUUUGUUUUUUGCUAGUGAAGCGAGUGGGAUGUAUGUGGAUAGUGUGGUGGUGUAACCUUCUCAGUCUUAUCCGUGCAGUCUUCUUGACACAGUGACCAUUCUGCUGAUGAAUGCAGAGAUUGGUUUGUCAUUAAGCUAUAGGAGAAGCUGAAAUGUAUACCAAAGCAAACUGGAUAUGGAGCAAAGCAUGAUAUUUAUGUGUGUGUAGAUAAUUACUGGACAGUAUAUUUAGGAGAGAACAUGUGGCAGGUAAGUAGAGGUGGAUAUGAGAGGGGGGACUGGGUAUUGGGGCACCUAAAAUAAUUAGUCCACAGGGGGAGAAUGUAUUAUUCACCUGAUAUGAUUUCAUGGUGAUUUUAAGGAAUAAGAUUCUAGAGUCAAUAAUGAAUAUGAAUUUAUGACAUGGGAUAUGAAAACCAAUGAUAGUUAUGUUUAUACCAUUAAAAAAAUCCUUUAACACAUUGUGCCAGACUGGGGCUCAAACCUGUGCCUCUGCAGCUAUCCAGGCCAUUGCAGGUGGAGCCUUAACCCACUGCACCACAGUGGUAACUCCACUGCUCCAUUUUAUCUCCUUGUGAUAAUGAAGUUAAUUUUAAGUGAGCAUCUUGGAAACUGUGAUCUUGAUUAUGAUACGACAUCUUUCUAACUUCCUCAUCUAUAGAAUAGCAUUGACAAAAUUUUUAACUGAUAGGCUGGCUGAGAUGAGGUAACCAAUACUACUUAUUAGAACAUUUUUUGAUUGCAUAUUUUGAGACUAUUUUCUCCAAUUCUGUAUGUUGUCUUUUUUUUUUUAUGGUUUCCCUUUGUUGUGCCAGAGCUUGUCAGUUUGAUUAUGUCCCAUUGGUUUAUUUUUGCUUUUAUUUCUGUUGCCUUGGGAAAUUGACCUAAGAAAACAUUGUAAGGUUGAUGGCAUAGAAUGUUUUGCCUAGGUUUUCUUCCAUGAGUUUGAUGAUGUCUUGUCUUAUGUUUAAGUCUUUAAGCCAUUUUGAGUUUAUUUCUGUGCAUGGUGUGAGGGUGUGUUCUAGUUUCAUUGAUUUUCAUGUGGCUGUCCAGUUUUCCCAGCAUCACUUGCUGAAAAGACUGAGAAUCUGGGGUUAAAGGAUGCAAAUUAUUGCCUUUGGAAUGCAUUAGCAAGGAGAUUCUGCUGUAUAGCCUUGGGAAUUAUAUCUACUCACUUAUGAUGGAGCAUGAUGGAGGAUAAUGUGAGAAAAAGAAUAUAUAUGUGUAUGUGUGACUGGGUCACUUUGCUGUACAGUGGAAAAUUUACAGAACACUGUAAACCAGACAUAAUGGAAAAAAUAAAAAGCAUUUUUUAAAAACUGAAUGCAAAGUAAAUUAAGCUGAUUUUGCACAGCUUUCAGAGGGACAAGACUACUCCUAUGAAAAUAUUUUCUGACAUGUAGAAAUGCAUGGACACUCAUCCUGUGGGACACACAGGAACCCUCUCACUUUGUUCUUGUGACAGAAUACAGGAAGUCAUGGUAACCAAGUGAGGUCCUAAUCCGGCUGCUUCUAGUAAAGGGAAGAGAUCCCAUUUGCUGACAGCAUGGGUCUUUACAAUCCUAAAUUAAUCGAAGUGAUGAAAAAUUCAUUGUGAUGAAUUGUGUGACUUGAUGAUCCAUCAUUACAGCCACACAGCAACUAGAAGAUGACAUCACAACCUAUUUUCCAGUGGUGUACCCAAACUAAGACAGAGCCUUGACCACCACCUUUUUCCCUUUGAACAUUUUGCAAACUUCCAAUUGCAGGUACAUUACAAGUUAUUACAUACCUUGUAGGGUAUGUAAGUAUCAGUUAGGAUUCAGUGAACAAAAGAGAAACCAAUGAGUCAUUUUAAUGGAGAAAAUUUAAUAUAGGAGUUGGUUAAAGGCAAAAAAGAACAAAGCAUAACACAACUAUCAUAAGUGUAGGAAGAAGUUACUACACCUAAGGAAUGAGGGUAUAAAGGGAAAAGUUGAACACUUAGGUUGAGCAUUUCAGGCAAAGAGACUUUUUCUGACCAUUCUUGAAUAAAUGUAAGAUGAACACAGGAUGGAAAAUAGAGCAGUAAUUUCAAGAGCCCCAUCCUAAAGCAAAGUAUAGAAGUGUGGGUUCGGAACAGAAACAAUGCCUUCACAAACAGCACAUAAGCCAAGCUCUAAUGGUAUAGAGAGACACCUUAUGUGAAGAAUCAUAAACAGAAGUAAUGGUGAUGGGGUUCCUGUUGUGGCACAGUAGGUUAAGUAUCAGAUGCCUCCUCUGUGAAGAUGAAAGCUCAAACCCUCGCUGUGCUUAGUGGGUUAAGGAUCCAGUGUUGCCGCAAUCUACAGCACAGGUCACGAAUAUGGCUCAGAUCCUGUGUGGCUGUGGCUGUGGUGUAGGCCUGAAGCUUCAGCUCUGGUUUGACCCAUUACCCAGGGAAUUUCCAUAUGCCACAGGUGUGGCAGCUUAAAAAAUAAAGAAAGAAAAGAAUUAAUGGGGAAAAUAAACUGCCCGUUGCUAUAGUAGACUCUUCAUAUCUUCUGCCUUUGAGCUCUGAUCUCUUUAGGAUCUUCUUCUAUGAGCAAUUAGAAACCAAGCCAUAGAGGUCAACUUGGAAUGAAAGAUGUUUCUUAGAUCAGAAGUUCCCUACCUAGGCCAUAAACUCUAACCACCUAGGUGCUUUAAAAAAAAUCCUCAUGCUCCAGACACAACCCAUUCAAUUAUCAGGAAAUCUGAUGUUGAGAUCCAGUUGUCAGCAUUUUUAAGCAUCCUGGAAGAUUUCAAUAAAAGCCAAGCUUGAGAAGCAGUGGCAUGAUUCUUCAUACAUAUCCUGCAUAAACAGUUUGGAAAAAAAGUUGUCAAAAAUAAUAGACAUUUUCAAUAAUAAAAAGAGAGCUGGUCAUCUUUUCAGGAAGCUUGGGUCAACAUGAUAAACUACAGACAUCUCCAUAGAUACAAUAAGAGUUAGCCAUGCAGUAAUUAUGAUAUGCAAACAUCCCAGAAUACUCUCCUAGUCCCAUGAAAGACAUAUCAAAUGAAGCAAUAUUCAAAUGUGAGGCAAUGAUAGGGAUGAAGGCCAUAAGAGCUACAAAAAGAUGUAAUGUGAGAGGAAGACUUUUCAGGUCUAGACAUUGCAUUUUGCUGCAUGUUCCAAUCUACAUUCCAAAUGGAUGACACGAGUACUUAGAUUAGGUAGUUUUGCUGAGGAACCUCCUCAUGGCUCUUUUGAUGUUUCUGUUCCUCAGGCUAUAGAUGAAGGGGUUCAGCAUGGGGGUGACCACAGUGUACAACACUGAGGCCACUGCAUCCUUCCUGGGAAAAUGUGAGACAGCUGAGCUGAGAUACACCCCAAGGCCUGUUCCAUAAAAUAAGCAAACACCUGCCAGGUGAGACCCACAGGUGGAGAAGGCUUUAUACCUCCCACCUGAUGAAGAGACUCUCAGAACGGAGGAAAGAAUUCGAGUAUAAGAGAAAAUGAUCCCUGAGACCUGAGUACCACCAUAAACGGCGCCAACAAAAUACAUGACUAUGUUAUUGGUGAGAAUAUCAGAACAGGCUAGCUUGAGGAGCAGAGAAGGGUCACAGAAGAAAUUGGAAAUGUCCACAUCCUUGAAGCAGGGAAUUUGUAUCACAAUCCAAUUGUGCACCUGGGAGUCCAAAAGGCUGAUGAAAAAAGACACCAAAAGUAAGAAGCAACAUAGGGGUGGGUUCAUGAUGACCGGGUAGUGCAGUGGGUGACAGAUGGCCAGGAACCUGUCAUAGGCCAUCACAGUCAGUAGAGUACUAUCCAUACAUCCAAAAAGAGUAAAAAUAGACAUCUGAGUUAAGCAGCCUGCAUAGGAGAUGACUCUGCUGUGAGUUUGUAUGUUCACAAUCAUCUUGGGGACAGUGGUAGAGAUGAAGCCCAUGUCAGUCAAGGACAGGUUGCAGAGGAAGAAGUACAUGGGGGUGUGAAGGUGGGAGUCAGAGGUAACAGCCAGGAUGAUGAGCAGGUUCCCCAACAUGGUGACCAGGUACAUGGACAGGAACAGCCCAAGGAGGAGGGGCUGCAGUUCUGGAUCAUCUGAGAGGCCCAGGAGGAAAAAUUCUGAAACCCUUGUUUGAUUUAUGGUUAGAUCUCUGGUUCUGUGCAGCUUUUUUAAAAACAAAAACAACAAAAAAGAGGGUUGAAAAUAAGGAAAGACGGGAGUUCCCUUAGUGGCUCAGUGGUUAACGAAUCUGACUAGGAACCAUGAGGUUGCGGGUUCGAUCCCUGGCCUUGCUCAGUGGGUUAAGGAUCCAGUGUUUGCCAUGAACUGUGGUGUAGGUCACAGAUGCGGCUUGGAUCUGGCCUUGCUGUGGCUAUGGUGUAGGCCAGUGGCUACAGCUCUGAUUAGACCCCUAGCCUAGGAAGCUUCAUAUGCUAUAGGAGUGGCCCUAGAAA